This 378-nucleotide long non-coding RNA is filed under the name Mytilus galloprovincialis (Mediterranean mussel). The record is from RNAcentral. Lineage: Eukaryota; Metazoa; Mollusca; Bivalvia; Mytilida; Mytilidae.
GUUGGUCUAUAGUUGAAAGAAGGAUGUUGGAACAUGUGAUCGCAUACAUAUAAUACAUUGAUAACACCUUCUGUGGAGGAUUGCCUUCAGAGGUCCUACGCCAAAUUGAGAAGCUCUUUUAUAAAGGACUCUUCCCAGUUACUCGAUCCCCGACUGAAGAUUUAUGAACAUCAAAAUGGUGCGCCGUUUUUCUUACAGACAUUUUCCCCCAUUUUACAUUUUCUAAAGGUAAAUAUCUUCGUACUGGAGAUUUUGAUCAAUAUUUUCUCACCUCUUGAAUGUUUUAUCAUGAUUAUCGUCCAAUUGAAACGUAAAUCCUUUUUUCAGUAAAUUCCUCUAUACUGCUGUGUUUGAUGAAACAUUUGGUACGUAUUUGGC